UCGGAUUGCAGGCUGCAACUCGCCUGUAUGAAGCGGAAUUGCUAGUAAUCGUGGAUCAGCAUACCACGGUGAAUACGUUCCCGGGCCUUGUACACACCGCCCGUCACACCAUGAGAGCCGGGAACACCCGAAGUCCGUAGUCUAACCUAUAUGGAGGACGCGGCCGAAGGUGGGUUUGGUAAUUGGGGUGAAGUCGUAACAAGGUACC
This 208-nucleotide ribosomal RNA is filed under the name uncultured bacterium. RNAcentral's name for it is "partial 16S ribosomal RNA". It matches the Rfam family "Bacterial small subunit ribosomal RNA", at positions 1293 to 1500 of the family's 1533-position model. The record is from RNAcentral.